This 486-nucleotide ribosomal RNA is filed under the name uncultured bacterium. RNAcentral describes it as "bacterial SSU rRNA". It matches the Rfam family "Bacterial small subunit ribosomal RNA", at positions 28 to 507 of the family's 1533-position model. The record is from RNAcentral.
GAUGAACGCUAGCGGGAGGCUUAACACAUGCAAGUCGAGGGGUAACAUGGAGUAGCAAUACUUUGAUGACGACCGGCGUACGGGUGAGUAACGCGUAUGCAACCUACCCUGUACAGGGGGAUAGCCCGGAGAAAUUCGGAUUAAUACCCCAUAAAGAUAUUUGGAGGCAUCUUUGAAUAUUUAAAGUUUCGGCGGUACGGGAUGGGCAUGCGUAACGUUAGCUAGUUGGUAGGGUAACGGCCUACCAAGGCGACGAUGUUUAGGGGUCCUGAGAGGGUGAUCCCCCACACUGGUACUGAGACACGGACCAGACUCCUACGGGAGGCAGCAGUGAGGAAUAUUGGUCAAUGGGCGCAAGCCUGAACCAGCCAUCCCGCGUGAAGGAAGAAGGCGCUAUGCGUCGUAAACUUCUUUUCCAGAGGAAGAAAACCCGCUACGAGUAGUGGUUUGCCGGUACUCUGGGAAUAAGCAUCGGCUAACUCCGUG